RNAcentral lists this long non-coding RNA (676 nucleotides) under Elaeis guineensis (African oil palm). RNAcentral's name for it is "long non-coding RNA (EGUI_LNC044858)". The record is from RNAcentral. Lineage: Eukaryota; Viridiplantae; Streptophyta; Magnoliopsida; Arecales; Arecaceae.
CAAGCUUGGAUUCCUUUUGCCGAUCCUAACCUUAUUUCUCUGUUCAAACAAAAAAAAAUAAAAAGAAUAUGAGCUACACUAGCCCAGUAAGUAGAACUUGCGCUUCCUUAUCGGAUCAAACAUAAGUUUUUCAUGAUAAUACAAUAUUUAGAAAAUAACAGGUAAUACAAAAUAAAGCAUUUCAUAGAGCAUAUAACAAAACAAGUUAUAAAUUCAUCAUGCAUGUAUAAAUUAUGUAUAUUUCACAAUCAUGAAUCGUAAAUCAUUUUCAUCAUGCAUUCAUGUCAUGUUUCAAAAUAUUGCUCACAGAUAUUCGUGCUAAGGUCACUAUUAUACCCGUGACAGGACCAUGUUUCUUAAUCGAUAGAGUUCUUAAUUCAUGUGCCAACUUUAUACCCGCUGGCAGGGCCAUGUUUGGUGUGGAUGCUAGCUCCGGAUAUCGACCUUCCCGAAGAAAUUUAUUCAUAGCCAUCUGAGAGCCUUUGAAAUCAUUAUAUCUUUUUCUUAAAGCAUACAUAUACAUAGAUGGAAAAACAAUGAAAUUCUUGCUUCAUAAUCAUGCUAUUUUCAUAAGACAUAUUCAUGAAAUCAAUGCUCAUAAUAAAAUAUAUUUUUUCAUAUCACAUAUGCCGAUCCUUAUUUUAUGAAAAAUUAUGAUUUCAUCAAUAGCAAUUCU